AUUGAACGCUGGCGGCAUGCCUUACACAUGCAAGUCGAACGGUAACAGCACUUGGGUGUCCGCCGAGUGGCGGCCGGGGGCGUACUACAUCGGAACGUGCCUAGUAGUGGGGGAUCACUACUCGUAAGAGUAGCUAAUACCGCAUAAGAUCUAAGGAUGAAAGCAGGGGACCUCCGGGCCUUGCGCUACUAGAGCGGCUGAUGGCAGAUUAGGUAGUUGGUGGGAUAAAAGCCUACCAAGCCGACGAUCUGUAGCUGGUCUGAGAGGAUGACCAGCCACACUGGAACUGAGACACGGUCCAGACUCCUACGGGAGGCAGCAGUGGGGAAUUUUGGACAAUGGGCGCAAGCCUGAUCCAGCAAUGCCGCGUGCAUGAUGAAGGCCUUCGGGUUGUAAACUGCUUUUGUACGGAAAGAAAAGCCGUCUGCUAAUACCGGGGGGUCAUGACGGUACCGUAAGAAUAAGCACCGGCUAACUACGUG
Molecule: ribosomal RNA, 482 nt
Filed under: uncultured bacterium
Lineage: Bacteria
Description: partial 16S ribosomal RNA
Rfam family: Bacterial small subunit ribosomal RNA
Source: RNAcentral